RNAcentral lists this ribosomal RNA (497 nucleotides) under uncultured bacterium. RNAcentral describes it as "partial 16S ribosomal RNA". It matches the Rfam family "Bacterial small subunit ribosomal RNA", at positions 28 to 507 of the family's 1533-position model. The record is from RNAcentral.
GACGAACGCUGGCGGCGUGCUUAAUACAUGCAAGUCGAGCGAACAGACGAGGAGUUUGUUCCUUUGACGUGAGCGGCGGACGGGUGAGUAACAUGUGGAUAAUCCACCUAUAAGACUGGGAUAACUUCGGGAAACCGGCGAUAAUACCGGAUAAUAUAUUGAACCGCAUGGUGCAAUAGUGAAAGACGGUUUUGCUGUCACUUAUAGCUGGAUCCGGGCCGCUUUAGCUGGUUGGUACGGUAACGGCUUAUCAAGGCAACGAGGCGUAGCCGACCUGAGAGGAGGGUCGGCGACACGGGAGCUGGGACGCGGUCCUGGCUCCUGCGAGAGGCAGCAGUAGGGAAUCUUCCGCAGUGGGCGAAAACCUGGCGGAACAGCGCGGCGUGUGUGGUAGAAGUCUUCGGAUCGUGAUGCUCUGUUAUUGGGGGUAAACAGAUGUGUAAGUUGCUGUGCACGUCUUGACGGUACCUGGUCAAGAAGCCACGGCUAACUACGUG